GACGAACGCUGGCGGCGUGCCUAUACAUGCAAGUCGAACGCUUUUUCUUUCACCGGAGCUUGCUCCACCGAAAGAAAAAGAGUGGCGAACGGGUGAGUAACACGUGGGUAACCUGCCCAUCAGAAGGGGAUAACACUUGGAAACAGGUGCUAAUACCGUAUAACACUAUUUUCCGCAUGGAAGAAAGUUGAAAGGCGCUUUUGCGUCACUGAUGGAUGGACCCGCGGUGCAUUAGCUAGUUGGUGAGGUAACGGCCCACCAAGGCAACGAUGCAUAGCCGACCUGAGAGGUGGAUCGGCCAAACGUGGACUGAGACACGGCCCAGACUCGUACGGGAGGCAGCAGUAGGGAAUCUUCGGCAAUGGACGAAAGUCUGACCGAGCAACGCCGCGUGAGUGAAGAAGGUUUACGGAUCGUAAAACUCUGUUGUUAGAGAAGAACAAGGAUGAGAGUAGAACGUUCAUCCCUUGACGGUAUCUAACCAGAAAGCCACGGCUAACUACGUGCCAGCCGCCGCGGUAA
This 522-nucleotide ribosomal RNA is filed under the name uncultured bacterium. Its description in RNAcentral is "partial 16S ribosomal RNA". It matches the Rfam family "Bacterial small subunit ribosomal RNA", at positions 28 to 523 of the family's 1533-position model. The record is from RNAcentral.